RNAcentral lists this unclassified non-coding RNA (319 nucleotides) under Candidatus Tremblayella princeps. Its description in RNAcentral is "Candidatus Tremblaya princeps RNaseP_bact_a". The record is from RNAcentral. Lineage: Bacteria; Pseudomonadati; Pseudomonadota; Betaproteobacteria.
GUGGGGAAUCGCAAGCUAGGCUCGCCGUUUAAGCAGGCCUAGCGUAAGGAAAGUCCGGCCUCUUGGGUUGGGGUUCGGCGUAAGCCGAAUGCAGCAAAUGCAUGCGCACAUGAAGGCACAGCACAGCCUGGCUUCUGCCGGGUAUGGUGGGAGCGCAAAGCGCACUGCAGAAACACCUGCAGCAAUGGUGCCCCUUUGGAGUAACCCUAUACAAGCAGAGCACCGGAGGCACGGCGCACUGCACCCGGCGCUGAACCUGCAGGUAAGGGGCUUAGAGUGAUGAUUCGAAUACUGAAUCCGGCUUAUCACCGCCACAUAA